RNAcentral lists this ribosomal RNA (493 nucleotides) under uncultured bacterium. RNAcentral describes it as "partial 16S ribosomal RNA". It matches the Rfam family "Bacterial small subunit ribosomal RNA", at positions 28 to 507 of the family's 1533-position model. The record is from RNAcentral.
GACGAACGCUGGCGGUGUGCUUAACACAUGCGAGUGGUGCGACGAACCAGAGCUUGCUCUGGGGCAAAGCCGCGAACGGGUGAGUAACACGUGGGUAAUCUACCCCGAUGACCGGGACAACCCGAGGAAACUCGAGCUAAUACCGGAUGUGGUGCGGAGACAUAAGUCUCUUCACUAAAGGUAGCUUCGGCUUCCGCAUUGGGAGGGGCCCGCGGCCCAUUAGGUUGUUGGUGGGGUCAAGGCCUACCAAGGCAACGAUGGGUAGCUGGUCUGAGAGGACGAUCAGCCACACUGGGACUGAGACACGGCCCAGACUCCUACGGGAGGCAGCAGUGGGGAAUCUUGCGCAAUGCGCGAAAGCGUGACGCAGCAACACCGCGUGAGGGAAGAAGGCCUUAGGGUUGUAAACCUCUUUCAGAUGGGACGAAGGUUCUCCGGUGAAUAGCCGAGAGGAUUGACGGUACCGUCAGAAGAAGCUCCGGCUAACUACGUG